RNAcentral lists this ribosomal RNA (464 nucleotides) under uncultured eukaryote. Its description in RNAcentral is "partial 18S ribosomal RNA". It matches the Rfam family "Eukaryotic small subunit ribosomal RNA", at positions 592 to 976 of the family's 1831-position model. The record is from RNAcentral.
CAGUAGCGUAUAUUAAUGUUGUUGCUGUUAAAAAGCUCGUAGUUGGAUGUUUGAGUGUGGUGUGUGUGCGUUCUUUGUUUGUCGGUGGUGUAAACCACUGGCGGAGAUUGUGACGCUACUUUCGCACGCCCGCCAUGUUUGUGUUUUUGUGCGUUUCGCAAGAGACGCGCGGAGGCACUCCCUUACUGUGAAAAAAUUAGAGUGCUCCAAGCAGGCAAAGAUAGCCAGAAUAGUCCAGCAUGGAAUGACAACGUGGACUGAUGUUUUUUUUUCUCUCUUCUUCGGAGGAGGGGAAAAAGAACCGCGCGUUGCUUUUUGGGACGCACACUACGUGCGUCUCGCGUCAUCAGUAAUUCUUGAUAGGAAAGCGCGGGGGUGCUUGUAUGUCGCGGCCAGAGGUGAAAUUCUUGGAUUCGCGACCGACAAACUUGUGCGAAAGCGUUCACCAAGUGUUUGUCCUUUGA